UACGUAGGGGGCAAGCGUUGUCCGGAUUUAUUGGGCGUAAAGAGCGUGUAGGCGGCCAUGCAGGUCCGUUGUGAAAACUCGAGGCUCAACCUCGAGACGUCGGUGGAAACCGCAUGGCUAGAGUCCGGAAGAGGAGAGUGGAAUUCCUGGUGUAGCGGUGAAAUGCGCAGAGAUCAGGAAGAACACCGGUGGCGAAGGCGCUCUGCUAGGCCGUAACUGACACUGAGGGACGAAAGCUAGGGGAGCGAAUGGG
RNAcentral lists this ribosomal RNA (253 nucleotides) under uncultured bacterium. RNAcentral's name for it is "partial 16S ribosomal RNA". It matches the Rfam family "Bacterial small subunit ribosomal RNA", at positions 524 to 776 of the family's 1533-position model. The record is from RNAcentral.